UUCAUAAUUGUUGAAUAUCAAAUGGCUUUAUUUUGAGAGCUUUUCAAGAAAAAAUAUUUUUUAUUUUUAUUUAUUUUAUGUCCAUCGAUUUUUCGUCUAUAUGCAGUGAAAAUGUGGAAGUAGAUGAGCCUGUUCGUAACUACCGAAUUGGCCGAAACACGGUUGCGAAUAUCUACUGCGUCAAAUGUGGCAGCGAGUUAGGAUGUAAAAUAAGUAAGCCAGCGUGACAGAUAAUCCCGUUUGUGACAAUUUGAUUUAUAAAACUUGUAAUUCUUUAUUUUUGGCGUAUUCCAGUUGGGAAGGCGGAAUUCCAUUUUCUUGACGAGUAGUUACAUGUUGUAAACGAUGGGAUGAUAGAACUACUUCUCGGAAAUUUGUCGUGGAGGGAAAGUUUUUCGACCACAUUGGCUAACUUGCCGAAUGUCUGAGAUAUUUGGUAAUAAUUGCGCCUACAUUUUGUGAAUUAUGUUGCCUAAAUUUGUUUUAUUUAAUUGAAAAUCGUAGCUGCUGGUUUGAUUUACAUGUGUAUCUCAUGGUAUUUCAGGUUAUAAUUGACCGACUCGAAAGCCUUGUCCAAAAUGCAUACGGUCGAUUGAGAAGUUGUGGAUCUGAGUUCAUAGACGUUACAUUUUUUUCGUUUCUCUUUUUCCUUUUUUUUUUUUUACAAAGACAUAACAAUUUACAAGUGUGUAAAGUUUCAUCAUUAGGGGGGAAAAAAAGGGCUCGAGUAACUGCCAUUUUGCACCCUGUAUAAUUCUCACGAUUUUCCAGAUUCUGCAUUUUCGAUUAUUGCAGGGGAAAAAUUAGUUUACACAUUGUGUUUUCAAAUCGAAG
Molecule: long non-coding RNA, 834 nt
Filed under: Erythranthe guttata (spotted monkey flower)
Lineage: Eukaryota; Viridiplantae; Streptophyta; Magnoliopsida; Lamiales; Phrymaceae
Description: long non-coding RNA (EGUT_LNC003724)
Source: RNAcentral